Hordeum vulgare subsp. vulgare (domesticated barley) is the source of this 769-nucleotide long non-coding RNA. RefSeq lists it as uncharacterized. The transcript has 2 exons. The record is from RefSeq and is a predicted model, not a curated record. Lineage: Eukaryota; Viridiplantae; Streptophyta; Magnoliopsida; Poales; Poaceae.
GCAUAUUCUUUGGUGAUUGGGACCCAAGCAGCAGAAGCAGUUGGAAUGCAUAGCCGGCUGGUGAUAUAGGGAGAGCUACACUCCACCUACUUAUAACAGGAUCGUUGCAGCUGGAUCAGGAAUAAAAAAGACUCGCUGGGGAUGGACUUUGCGAGCAGUAAUGGCGAAAAGGUGCAGGGUGCGAAGAGAUACGCUACAAUUCAUCACGAUCAUGGUGGCGCAAAAGUGUGCUGGCCACGGACCGAUGGCCGCCGCGCACGUCACGGGCUUAAUGUCGCCGCCGUCGCCGUCGUCGUGGCUACUAAUCUGAUCCGGAUGAUCCCGCGGCGAUCGCGAUUACUCCGAGGAUCUGCGCCCCGAUUAUUUACGCGAGCGGAGCGGCCGUCCGCGUGCAUGCCGACCGUAUCCCGGGAAUCCAUAGUUUUAGUUAUCUCGUGGUGAUUAACUCAAAUGAGCAUGCUUCUGUUUUCAAUUAAUAAUCGCCAUACAUACGUAGCUAGCUUCGCCUAUGGGGGUGCCAACCCCUAUGAUAUGAUAGCCUCCCUGCGUCAAUUAGUUCACAUGCGUGCACCACAAGCUUUGAUCGGUUGGCUGCAACUGAUUUGCACAUGCCUAGUUAUAUGCAUAUAUUGCUAGGACCUUUUUGUUAUAGUUUUCACAAGUAGACGUAUGGAUUCAAAAUUCCUUGAGUGUACCUGUUGUACAGUAGCAUAUGUCAUGCUCUAUAAAAAAGCUUCACAUCUUCUUUUGAGCAAAUUAAGCUUUUAAA